This 66-nucleotide transfer RNA is filed under the name Marmota monax (woodchuck). Its description in RNAcentral is "tRNA.Ala". Lineage: Eukaryota; Metazoa; Chordata; Mammalia; Rodentia; Sciuridae. The record is from RNAcentral.
GCAGUGGCUCAGUGGCAGAGCGCUUGCCCAGCAUGUGAGGUCCUGGGUUCGAUUCUCAGUACUGCG